RNAcentral lists this transfer RNA (88 nucleotides) under Schizophyllum commune Loenen D. Its description in RNAcentral is "tRNA-Gln". It matches the Rfam family "tRNA". Rfam says of the family: Transfer RNA (tRNA) molecules are approximately 80 nucleotides in length. Their secondary structure includes four short double-helical elements and three loops (D, anti-codon, and T loops). The record is from RNAcentral. Lineage: Eukaryota; Fungi; Basidiomycota; Agaricomycetes; Agaricales; Schizophyllaceae.
GGCUCUGUAGUGUAGUGGUUAUCACCCGGGAUUCUGAUUGUGCAACAUCGGUAUUCCCGUGACCCAGGUUCGAUCCCUGGCAGGGCCU